RNAcentral lists this ribosomal RNA (410 nucleotides) under Rhodobacteraceae bacterium S32. Its description in RNAcentral is "bacterial SSU rRNA". It matches the Rfam family "Bacterial small subunit ribosomal RNA", at positions 29 to 484 of the family's 1533-position model. Lineage: Bacteria; Pseudomonadati; Pseudomonadota; Alphaproteobacteria; Rhodobacterales; Paracoccaceae. The record is from RNAcentral.
AACGAACGCUGGCGGCAGGCCUAACACAUGCAAGUCGAACGAGAUCUUCGGAUCUAGUGGCGGACGGGUUAGUAACGCGUGGGGAUGUACCCAAAGGUAUGGAAUAGUCCCGGGAAACUGGGUUUAAUACCAUAUGUGCCCUUAGGGGGAAAGAUUUUUCGCCUUUGGAUCAACCCGCGUUGGAUUAGGUAGUUGGUGGGGUAAUGGCCUACCAAGCCGACGAUCCAUAGCUGGUUUGAGAGGAUGAUCAGCAACACUGGGACUGAGACACGGCCCAGACUCCUACGGGAGGCAGCAGUGGGGAAUCUUAGACAAUGGGGGAAACCCUGAUCUAGCCAUGCCGCGUGGACGAUGAAGGCCUUAGGGUUGUAAAGUCCUUUCAGUCGUGAAGAUAAUGACGGUAGCGACAG